Molecule: ribosomal RNA, 229 nt
Filed under: uncultured bacterium
Lineage: Bacteria
Description: partial 16S ribosomal RNA
Rfam family: Bacterial small subunit ribosomal RNA
Source: RNAcentral
UCCGUAGGCGGGCAAUUAAGUCAGAGGUGAAAUCCCACAGCUCAACUGUGGAACUGCCUUUGAUACUGGUUGUCUUGAGUUAUAGUGAAGUAGAUAGAAUAUGUAGUGUAGCGGUGAAAUGCAUAGAUAUUACAUAGAAUACCGAUUGCGAAGGCAGUCUACUAACUGUAUACUGACGCUGAGGAACGAAAGCGUGGGGAGCGAACAGGAUUAGAUACCCUGGUAGUCC